Danio rerio (zebrafish) is the source of this 46-nucleotide non-coding RNA. NCBI's taxonomy places the organism in Eukaryota, Metazoa, Chordata, Actinopteri, Cypriniformes, Danionidae. The record is from Rfam.
ACAACGGCUCUUUUAAGAGCCACCCACGUUUUCAUAAGAGAGUAAU